Molecule: ribosomal RNA, 478 nt
Filed under: uncultured bacterium
Lineage: Bacteria
Description: partial 16S ribosomal RNA
Rfam family: Bacterial small subunit ribosomal RNA
Source: RNAcentral
GACGAACGCUGGCGGCGUGCUUAACACAUGCAAGUCGAACGGAAAGGCCCUUCGGGGUACUCGAGUGGCGAACGGGUGAGUAACACGUGGGUGAUCUGCCCUGCACUUUGGGAUAAGCCUGGGAAACUGGGUCUAAUACCGAAUAUGAUCAUCAGCUUCAUGGUUGGUGGUGGAAAGCUUUUGCGGUGUGGGAUGGGCCCGCGGCCUAUGAGCUUGUUGGUGGGGUAAUGGCCUACCAAGGUGACGACGGGUAGCCGGCCUGAGAGGGUGACCGGCCACACUGGGACUGAGAUACGGCCCAGACUCCUACGGGAGGCAGCAGUGGGGAAUAUUGCACAAUGGGCGCAAGCCUGAUGCAGCGACGCCGCGUGAGGGAUGACGGCCUUCGGGUUGUAAACCUCUUUCAGCACAGACGAAGCGCAAGUGGCGGUAUGUGCAGAAGAAGGACCGGCCAACUACGUGCCAGCCGCCGCAGUAA